Molecule: ribosomal RNA, 459 nt
Filed under: uncultured Anaerolineaceae bacterium
Lineage: Bacteria; Bacillati; Chloroflexota; Anaerolineae; Anaerolineales; Anaerolineaceae
Description: bacterial SSU rRNA
Rfam family: Bacterial small subunit ribosomal RNA
Source: RNAcentral
UUGACGGGACCCGCACAAGCAGCGGAGCGUGUGGUUUAAUUCGUUGCUACACGAAGAACCUUACCUGGGUUUGACAUAUAGGUUGUAGGGAACUGAAACGGGACCGACCCUUCGGGGAGCCUAUACAGGUUGUUGCAUGGCUGUCGUCAGCUCGUGUCGUGAGAUGUUCGGUUAAGUCCGCUAACGAGCGCAACCCUCGUCGUAUGUUAUAUGUGUCAUACGAGACUGCCGGUAAAAAGCCGGAGGAAGGUGAGGAUGAUGUCAAGUCAGCAUGACCUUUAUAUCCAGGGCUACACACACGCUACAAUGGUCUGUACAAUGGGUAGCCAAGCCGCGAGGCGGAGCCAAUCCUGAAAGCAGGCCUCAGUUCAGAUUGCAGUCUGCAACUCGACUGCAUGAAGCCGGAGUUGCUAGUAACCGCAGGUCAGCAAUACUGCGGUGAAUACGUUCCCGGGUCUU